AACGAACGCUGGCGGUGUGCCUCAUACAUGCAAGUCGUACGCGAAUCCUGCCGCAAGGCAGGGUUUGAGUGGCAAACGGGUGCGUAACACGUAGGUAAUCUUCCUUUGAGUUGGGGAUAAGCCCUCGAAAGGGGGUCUAAUACCGAAUAACACUUCGGGCCGGCAUCGGCCUGAAAUUAAAGAUGGCCUCUGCUUGCAAGCUAUCGCUCGGAGAUGAGCCUGCGGCCGAUUAGUUAGUUGGCGGGAUAAAAGCCCACCAAGACUUCGAUCGGUAGCCGGUCUGAGAGGAUGUCCGGCCACACUGGGACUGAGAUACGGCCCAGACUCCUACGGGAGCAGCAGUAGGAAUAUUGCGCAAUGGCCGACAAGG
Molecule: ribosomal RNA, 370 nt
Filed under: uncultured bacterium
Lineage: Bacteria
Description: bacterial SSU rRNA
Rfam family: Bacterial small subunit ribosomal RNA
Source: RNAcentral